UCUCCUGAAAAAGGAUUAUUUCAUAUAGAUUAAAUUCAUUAUAUCAUAAAAGUAUUGAGAAAGAGUAGAGGAGAUAAGGAAAAAUGAUGUAUGGCCUAGGAAUAAAGAUGAAAUGUAUAUGGGGCACAGUAGGCAAAAAAAAACACAGAGCAAUUUUGGGAAUGAGGAUGUAAGAAAGGAAAGGACUUUUUCAGCCAUUGCUAGGUUUACAGUUGAAGCAUCUAUAAUGAAAGACAUGUUAACAAAAGAAAAGCAAACAAGUGUAUUUAUUGCAAGUUUCACAUGACACCGAAACCUUUGGAAAUAAAAACCCAAAAGACACAGGGAAAUGUGUGUUUUUUGCGCUAAGUUUGAUGAAUGAAUGGGUAAUCAUGGAGAGAUCUGAUUGGAUGAAAGGGGCAUCAGCAACUGGUAAUAAAAUGGGGAAGAUCCGGAAAAGCCUGCUUGAUCAGUCUUCUCUGUGUCCCUGUUUCAUCCAGAGAUCAUUCCGUUCCUCCCAGCAUAGGGUGGGCACCUCUGGAAGGAGGUUUUAGGACCAACUGCCGAGCAAACUUAAGAGAGAAUCUUGAGGGAAAGGGGCUAAAACAAGGUCUGCGGUAAACAAUGGAUCGGGCACAAGAUUUUAUUUUCAACAGCUAAGAGAAUCUUGAUUUAUAAGUAUCACAGGGAAAUGAUAAAAGUAAAAAUAAUAAAUUAAAUACUUGACACCAUUAUUCCUACAUUUUACCAUAUCUUAAGAUAAAUUCAGAAGUUUUUCUUAGAUCAUAUACCCAAAUUCAUUCAGAAAAGAAAGAGGAAGAAGAAAAAGUAAAGUAAAACCAACAUUCAGCUUCUAUGCUGGGUUAUAUUUUGUUCUGCUUAACUGCUGAGAUUUGCAGGAUAUUGAACCAAAAUUGAUAUUUCCCCUUGAGCCAGACUCUAAGUGAUUUGACUAGAAAGAGAUUGCGUUGUUUUAAGGUCAAGGUGGUUGUUUUCCAAUGUAUGGUGGUUUUGAUUCGUGAUUUUUUCUCAGUCAUAUAAAAGAAAAAGCAGAUAGUGAAAGUAUUUGAUCUUUUUUAUUUGAUUGUUUAGUUUUAUUGAGAAUAAUUGUCUUUGUAAGCAACUAAAGUAAAAAUUAUGCUUAGGUAAAGCAUUAACUACAGAUAAAAUAUGUCCCAAUAACAUUUUUAAGUAAUUUAAUGUUUUUUUGUAAAAAAAAACUAUACUCUUACUAUUUAUCCAUGGUCAUGACUGUAUCAUCAACAAUCAACCUAUUUAGUAAAACUUUACAUUGACUUUGUAUGUUUGAAUUAGUGCAACAUGAAAUGAGAUUAAAAAGCAAGAUAAAAAAUAUUCCUGUGUUCUAGAACCCUCAAGCAUAGAUUCUAAAAUGAUUUGUAAAAUUGGCAACUUAAUUCAUUUAAUUCAUUUGAAUGUAUGCCUAGGUAAUCUUAUAAAUUUAAUCUAGGACUAUCUAAAGUACUUGAAAUUUUGUAAUCCUCAAAGACCUCUGAACAGAGAUCAUUAUUGAUUCAUUUUUAUGGAAGUAAAUAUAUUUUUUAAAUAUUUGUUUUAUUAUGAAUUUCAUUAGAUAAAACUUUCAAAUGUAUGAACAGAAAUUUAACUUAUUUAUUCAUUAAAUUGAUAGCAACAUAAAACAAGUAUAAUUUUCACAAAGUACACUGAUUUCUUUAAAAUAACAUAUUAGGAUAAUAGUUGCUUUUAUAAACUCCUAAAUUAUGGCAUAAAAAUAAAAUUACAUUUAAUAAUCGUAUAUGAGUUCCAUAACAGUAUCACAGCCAGGCACAGUGAUGCAUGCCUGUAAUCCCAGCACUCAGGAGGCUGAGGGAGGAGAAUCACCAUGAGUUCAAGGCCAGCCUGAGCGACACAGCCAGACCUUGUCUCACACACACACACAGAAGUGUAUCACUGAUUAUUGGGUAGGUUUCCUCUUUGUUGUUAUUCAAGAAUCAAGAGUCCUUUCACUUAGGAGCUCUAAAAUUUUCUAGGGACCAAGAAUAUCCUGCUCCAAAAUGACAGAAAAUGAAAAAUAGUAAAGAUAUAUGAAAAAAGCUGUAUAUCAAGGGAGGAGGAAAGUCUACACUUGGUUAGGGUUUUGCUUGGCCAUAGGAACACCAUAGUAUGGAAAUGGAAACGUGUGUGUCUUUUUAGUUUGAAGCAUGCUAAAUUUGAAGACAAAUCCCUAGAUUUUUCCAUAGGGGAUUAUUCUUUGGGAAUUAUUAGUGACUUCCCAGUAUAGAAGAUAUGUACUUAAAAAAAAGAAGAAGAUAUGUACUUAGAUAACUGAAGAAAAGGGAAGUUGUAGUUACAAAAUAGGACUGGUUGAUGGAAAUUCUGUCUUCUUUAGAUCUUCUUGAAUGCAGAAUAUGUACACAUUCCUAUUAUCCAAAUACAAAUAGUACCCAAGUAAGAAAAGCAGAAUGAUAAUGCAUAAAUUUAGGGUGGGUUAACAGAGAAAAAUUGCACAGUUUGUCUUUAAGUUCUAAGUCUGUUUUGAUAAAGUUAUUAAACAUAUCAAAUUUCAUUCAUCAGCUCAUUUAAUGUAAGAUGUAACAAUUUUAAUUGUACUACUUUAAAAUUAACUAUAUUAAGAUGAAUAAUGGUGAAUGGCUCAUACAACUAGUAAUCUAAUGGAGGUUAAAGUAUGAUAUGGCAAUACAAAACCUCUUUAUUCCCAUAAAAAUAAUGAUAAUAUGAAUUUCAGCCAGUAAUAUCAUUAGUAAAUUGAAGGAAUAAAAGUAACUAACCUUAAAUAUUUGCAAUUGGUAGUAUUUUAUAAUAUAUCUGAAGCAAUGUAAUGUUUUGUAGGAUGUGGUCUUAUUCAAGAUUUGACUUGGGAAGAACAUGACAGCAUAUCUUAUAUUAUUAGAGUUCAUGUUGUAGAAGUAUAUGAAAGCUAGGGAACACUGUAUUAUAAUAGAGUACUUCAUGAAGCCUCUGCCCCGCCUUCUUCCCUGGAUAAAUUCAUAGUGAGUAUUUCACAUGAAUUCCAUAAUGAGCUCACCUGGGCUACGUGAACUACUUAUCAAAAGAGGUGAUUUUAUUCAACACCUCAUGUAUUCAGAGGUGUUGCCACUCUAUCAUCAUUUUCCUCAAGCAUAAACUGUUUUAGUGGUACAUAUGGAGUAUAGAGUCAAUGAACUAGUUUGGCAUUAUAUACUUCAUUUCAUAUUACUUUUUGUUACAUCAAAAUGGGACUGUUCUGAUAGGGCCCACUUUCUUUCAAAGAGAUCAAGAAAGAAAGAAAAGAAAGAAUAUAUAGAACAAUGUUAUUGCUUGGUUUGAAACAGUCACUAAUUUAACCAGUCAUUCUGCUUUGUUUCAGUUAGUCUGCACCAUAUCCUGGGUUGUACAUAGUAGUAUUGUCUACUUUUAUAGAUGAGCUUUGCAGAAAUGAGAGUACUUCCCCACGGUGAAAUGGACUGAUGAGUGCUGAAGUAAGAAUUCAGAUUUCAGUAGUGUUACCUCACAGUUCCAUAUAUUGUUACCUACCACACUAAACUCUCAAUGAAUCAUCCUGAAGCUGGCAGACUGAGAAAAGAAUAUUGGAUUUUGUAAAGUGGCAACUUUCUUCUAGAAAACUGGAUAUCAUUCUUGAGGAAAAUGACUUUGGGCUAUAUGCAAAAUGGUCAUUUUAUCCCUUAAUGUGAGGCAGCUCCAAGUUUGUAUCGGCUGCAUGAAGAUACAUAAAAAUAUUACACAGAAUUUUUUGCAGAAAAUGUAAAAGAAAAAAAGAUAUGACAUUUUAGACAAGGAAAAAAAACUGUAAGGAAAACAAAAAGAUCAGUUGUUUCCAGGUUAUGGAACAUGGAGGGAGGAAGGGUUGAACAGGUAGAAUACAGAAAAACUUAAAAGUACUGAAAUGAUUCUGUGUGACCUGCAAUGAUGAAUACAGGUCCACUACACAAACCAAAUCCCAAAGAACUGUACCACACUCAUGUAAGAAUGAACACUAAUGUAAACUAUAGGGAUUAGUUAAUAAUAAUGUACCUACAGGGGUCCAUUAAUUUUAAUAUGUGUAACACACUAAUGAUAGGAGAUGCUGAGUCAGGAAGAAAGGAGGCAUACGGGUAACCUAUAUUAUCUACUCAAUUGUCUGUAAAGCUAAAUGUGCUAUAAAAAUAAAUGCUAUUAAUUAAUAAGAGUCAAAACUUGCACUCUAUGAGUGAUCCUAUGACUAUAAUUGUGGAUCUUUCAAGAAACAGAUGACUAAUUUCAGAAUAAUUGUAUCAUUUCUAUUCUGUUCAAAUAUCCAGAAAUCUCACAGAUUCACUCAUCAUAGUCAGAUCUCAUAAAUGUCUUUCUUCUGUUAUCUCCAUAUAAGCACUUUGCUGUGAAUUCUGGGUGAAUAUAAUACUCUUUCUUGCCUCAGUUAUACCAUCAUUAGAAUCUGAACACCUAUAGAAAACACCAUCAGCAUUUUUAUGCCAAUAGGUGUAUAACUGGAGAGAGUUUGGAUGAUUUCACCAAAUGUAGAACUUGUAAGUACACAGAAAAGUAUACACCCUGUGUUUCUUACUGUGCUAAUAAUGAUGCCGCUCUAUUUUCCUGUGCCUAGUUAGCCCUUCUUAAUAAACUGACAUUUGAGAGAAAUCUUUACUUUCAAUUUUAAACACAAAAUAGCUUCUAAUGGCCAAGGGAAAAAGAGGUAGGUAAAUACUGCUAUUUCUUGUGGAAUGGAAUGUAGUUCUUUUCUGCAUUUUUUCCCCAGUAGUAUAGUCACAGUUUGAGGAGAAGAAAAUGGCUUUCAAAGCUGAGAAGAUCAAAGGACCUGUAACUAUGCUUUUUCCACACAGCUACAGUGCCAUUGAGACCUCACUGGGAACAAGAGCAGUAGGAGAGAAAUCAGAUAACGAUAAUUAGAGAAAGCAGAGCCAUUCCUGUAGUCAAAAUCAUGAAUCGCUGACUCACUUGUGCAAGAGGAAUGUGCUUCUCCAGUUGGGAUUUUCUAGGGCUGGUGACUUGGCUACCCCACAAAUGGACACGUUCCUAUUCAAAACUGGCUUAUGCAAGUUACUUGGGCCUUUUAAUAUCUACCAUUUCAGAAUGACUGGGCUUAUUAGGUUCUUAUAUCUCUUUAUAAUUAAGCAGGCAAUUUUACAAAGCAUAGUUUUGGAAGAUGACCAUAUACACCAUGGAACAGGAUUGCUAUAUUCAAAUUCGUGGUGAUAUGAGGAGAUAGAUAUAGUCACAAAUGGCUUAUUGGAAGUCUAUAAUUGAAAUUUGUAUAAGCAGUAAGAAAAAAUUGAUGAACAUGAUAUUAGUAAAUUCUUUAGCCCGAAUAGAUUUUCUCUGUUUGUACCUUGACUUUGUUUUCUGUAGUGGAGAUAGUGGUAUCAUUUUCUGUGCUAACCUGUCUCUUGGUGUUGUCUCCUUUUUCACCUUGGAGUCUUGUUGACAUGAGAGUGAUUGCUCUCUGCUGUUAAUUUUUACACAUUAAGUUAAAAUCUCAAACUUUGGUCUUUAUACAAAACAAAUUCUACAGAUUCUCUCACUUACUAUUUAACUGUGUCAUUAUCUUGCUGCUACUCUUAAUAAUGUUUGUUCCAGAUUCUACUGUACUAUGAUCUGUAAUAGCACACUUCUCCUUAAAUAUUCGACUGCAAUUCUUUAUGGAUAUCAUGAAAAACUCUUCAGUAUAGCCAUUGUGGAGAUUAGGGAAGCCAUAUGUGAUUUUAAAUGGAGGGAAAAACAAAAAUUUCAAGAUUUAUUGUCAAUAGGAAGACAUUUUUUCCAUAUGUGUAUAUAUAUUCCAAUAAACUGUGCUAAACUAAGAAUAUUUAUGAUAAAAAUACAAUUGAGCACCAUGUUAUUUUUUCUUUUUAUUAUUAUUAGAAGAUUGUACAUCUUCUCUUUAUGCUCUUUGUCUCAUGCAACUUUUUUUUUUAUUAGCACACAUUUGCCAUACCUAAUGAUCACAUUUAUCAUGGGGGAUUUGUACCUGUAGAUAAAAUAUUUUAAUAUUUUGGUUGCCAUUUCCAUCCUCUCCCAUCAAUGUUUCUUUCCCUCCCCAUUUACAAAACUUUGUUUCCAUUUUUUCUUACAUUUUCUGUUUUUAACUCCAUUUUUCUUCCUUCUUUCCUUUUCUCCUCUUCCGUCAUUUGCUCACCUUUUUAUUUAAACAAGUUUUCCUACUUCCCAAUAUCUGUCCUCCUUUUUGCUCCUUAUUUACCCUUUGAGUUUCUCACACAAGAGAAACAAUGCAAAAGGUAAACUUGUAUGUCUAGGGCCGGGGAUUUAGCUCAGUGGUUUCUCCGCCUGCUGUGCAAGCGCAAGGGCCCGAGUUCGAUCCCCAGUACAAAAAAAGAAAAAAAAAAAAAAAACUUGUAUGUCUGACUUAUUUCACUUAAAAUUAUUGUCUCAGUGUGCAUCCUUUUACCUAAAAAUAUCUCAUCUAUCCUUCGUUAUGCCAGAGUAGUAUAGUAGUUAAUUGUAUAUAAAUACCACAUUUUCUUUAUCCAUUCAUUUGUCAAUGGGCAUAUGAGCUAUUUUCAAGAUUUAGUUAUUAUAAAUUGUUCUGCUAUAAAUAUGGAUAUUCAUAUAUCAUUCUGGUAUGAUGCUUUUAUGUCUUCCAGGAAGAUAACUAGAAGAAGAGUAUCUGGGUCAAAUGGAACCUCUAGUGUCAGUUCUUUGAGGACUCUGCAUACUAAUUUCCCUAGUGGUUGUACCAAUUUACAUUCCCA
This 6683-nucleotide long non-coding RNA is filed under the name Heterocephalus glaber (naked mole-rat). RNAcentral describes it as "lncRNA (ENSHGLG00100045444.1)". The record is from RNAcentral. Lineage: Eukaryota; Metazoa; Chordata; Mammalia; Rodentia; Bathyergidae.